GGCUCAAAUUCGAAGUAGAAUAGAUUGGAAGGACCACGUGACCCUACUAAUCUGCUCUACUUCGAAUUUCGGCCC
This 75-nucleotide microRNA precursor is filed under the name Haemonchus placei. RNAcentral's name for it is "mir-5928 microRNA precursor family". It matches the Rfam family "mir-5928 microRNA precursor family". Lineage: Eukaryota; Metazoa; Nematoda; Chromadorea; Rhabditida; Trichostrongylidae. The record is from Rfam by way of RNAcentral.